Molecule: ribosomal RNA, 719 nt
Filed under: uncultured Enterococcus sp.
Lineage: Bacteria; Bacillati; Bacillota; Bacilli; Lactobacillales; Enterococcaceae
Description: bacterial SSU rRNA
Rfam family: Bacterial small subunit ribosomal RNA
Source: RNAcentral
UAGUCACGCGUAAACGAUGAGUGCUAAGUGUUGGAGGUUUCCCCUUCAGUGCUGCAGCUAACGCAUUAAGCACUCCGCUGGGGAGUACGACCGCAAGGUUGAAACUCAAAGGAAUUGACGGGGGCCCGCACAAGCGGUGGAGCAUGUGGUUUAAUUCGAAGCAACGCGAAGAACCUUACCAGGUCUUGACAUCCUUUGACCACUCUAGAGAUAGAGCUUUCCCUUCGGGGACAAAGUGACAGGUGGUGCAUGGUUGUCGUCAGCUCGUGUCGUGAGAUGUUGGGUUAAGUCCCGCAACGAGCGCAACCCUUAUUGUUAGUUGCCAUCAUUCAGUUGGGCACUCUAGCGAGACUGCCGGUGACAAACCGGAGGAAGGUGGGGAUGACGUCAAAUCAUCAUGCCCCUUAUGACCUGGGCUACACACGUGCUACAAUGGGAAGUACAACGAGUCGCUAGGCCGCGAGGUCAUGCAAAUCUCUUAAAGCUUCUCUCAGUUCGGAUUGCAGGCUGCAACUCGCCUGCAUGAAGCCGGAAUCGCUAGUAAUCGCGGAUCAGCACGCCGCGGUGAAUACGUUCCCGGGCCUUGUACACACCGCCCGUCACACCACGAAAGUUUGUAACACCCGAAGUCGGUGAGGUAACCUUUUGGAGCCAGCCGCCUAAGGUGGGAUAGAUGAUUGGGGUGAAGUCGUAACAAGGUAACCAAGGGCGAAUUCCAG